AGUGAACGCUGGCGGUAGGCCUAACACAUGCAAGUCGAACGGCACCACAGUAAGAGCUUGCUCUUACGGGUGGCGAGUGGCGGACGGGUGAGGAAUACAUCGGAAUCUACUUUUUCGUGGGGGAUAACGUAGGGAAACUUACGCUAAUACCGCAUACGACCUACGGGUGAAAGCAGGGGAUCUUCGGACCUUGCGCGAUUGAAUGAGCCGAUGUCGGAUUAGCUAGUUGGCGGGGUAAAGGCCCACCAAGGCGACGAUCCGUAGCUGGUCUGAGAGGAUGAUCAGCCACACUGGAACUGAGACACGGUCCAGACUCCUACGGGAGGCAGCAGUGGGGAAUAUUGGACAAUGGGCGCAAGCCUGAUCCAGCCAUACCGCGUGGGUGAAGAAGGCCUUCGGGUUGUAAAGCCCUUUUGUUGGGAAAGAAAAGCAGCAGGUUAAUACCCCGCUGUUCUGACGGUACCCAAAGAAUAAGCACCGGCUAACUUCGUG
RNAcentral lists this ribosomal RNA (492 nucleotides) under uncultured bacterium. RNAcentral describes it as "partial 16S ribosomal RNA". It matches the Rfam family "Bacterial small subunit ribosomal RNA", at positions 29 to 507 of the family's 1533-position model. The record is from RNAcentral.